AACGAACGCUGGCGGCAUGCCUAACACAUGCAAGUCGAACGAGACCUUCGGGUCUAGUGGCGCACGGGUGCGUAACGCGUGGGAACCUGCCUUUAGGUUCGGAAUAACUCAGAGAAAUUUGAGCUAAUACCGGAUAAUGUCUUCGGACCAAAGAUUUAUCGCCUUUAGAUGGGCCCGCGUUGGAUUAGCUAGUUGGUGGGUAAAGCCUACCAAGCCUACGAUCCAUAGCUGGUUUGAGAGGAUGAUCAGCAACACUGGGACUGAGACACGGCCCAGACUCCUACGGGAGCAGCAGUGGGGAAUCUUAGACAAUGGGCGCAAGCCUGAUCUAGCCAUGCCGCGUGAGCGAUGAAGGCCUUAGGGUUGUAAAGCUCUUUCAGAUGGGAAGAUAAUGACGGUACCAUCAGAAGAAGCCCCGGCUAACUCCGUGCCAGCAGCCGCGGU
This 444-nucleotide ribosomal RNA is filed under the name uncultured bacterium. Its description in RNAcentral is "bacterial SSU rRNA". It matches the Rfam family "Bacterial small subunit ribosomal RNA", at positions 29 to 521 of the family's 1533-position model. The record is from RNAcentral.